This 406-nucleotide ribosomal RNA is filed under the name Escherichia coli. RNAcentral's name for it is "partial 23S ribosomal RNA". It matches the Rfam family "Bacterial large subunit ribosomal RNA", at positions 777 to 1180 of the family's 2925-position model. The record is from RNAcentral. Lineage: Bacteria; Pseudomonadati; Pseudomonadota; Gammaproteobacteria; Enterobacterales; Enterobacteriaceae.
AACCGACUAAUGUUGAAAAAUUAGCGGAUGACUUGUGGCUGGGGGUGAAAGGCCAAUCAAACCGGGAGAUAGCUGGUUCUCCCCGAAAGCUAUUUAGGUAGCGCCUCGUGAAUUCAUCUCCGGGGGUAGAGCACUGUUUCGGCAAGGGGGUCAUCCCGACUUACCAACCCGAUGCAAACUGCGAAUACCGGAGAAUGUUAUCACGGGAGACACACGGCGGGUGCUAACGUCCGUCGUGAAGAGGGAAACAACCCAGACCGCCAGCUAAGGUCCCAAAGUCAUGGUUAAGUGGGAAACGAUGUGGGAAGGCCCAGACAGCCAGGAUGUUGGCUUAGAAGCAGCCAUCAUUUAAAGAAAGCGUAAUAGCUCACUGGUCGAGUCGGCCUGCGCGGAAGAUGUAACGGGG